GACGAACGCUGGCGGCGUGCUUAACACAUGCAAGUCGAACGGAAAGGCCCUGCUUUUGUGGGGUGCUCGAGUGGCGAACGGGUGAGUAACCCGUGAGUAACCUGCCCUUGACUUUGGGAUAACUUCAGGAAACUGGGGCUAAUCCCGGCUAGGAGUUCCUGCUGCAUGGUGGGGGUUGGAAAGUUUCGGCGGUUGGUGAUGGACUCGCGGCUUAUCAGCUUGUUGGUGGGGUAGUGGCUUACCAAGGCUUUGACGGGUAGCCGGCCUGAGAGGGAGACCGGCCACACUAGGACUGAAAUACGACCCAGACUCCUACGGGAGGCAGCAGUGGGGUAGAGAGCACAAGGGGCGGAGGCCUGAUGCAGCAACGCCGCGUGGGGGAUGACGGCCUGCGGGUUGUAAACCGCAGUCGCCUGUGACGAAGCGUGAGUGACGGUAAUGGGUAAAGAAGCACCGGCUAACUACGUG
This 468-nucleotide ribosomal RNA is filed under the name uncultured bacterium. RNAcentral describes it as "partial 16S ribosomal RNA". It matches the Rfam family "Bacterial small subunit ribosomal RNA", at positions 28 to 507 of the family's 1533-position model. The record is from RNAcentral.